AUGAACUAAGAUUUUACCGACUGAAGGCAAAGAAGAAAAUGAGAUCUCCAAAUCCUGAAGUUAGGAUCAGAUACAAACUUGAGAAGGCAAAACGAAAGGAAGCUUGGUUGAUCGAGAAAUUGAGAAAUUUUGAGGUACCUAAAGCUCCAGAUGAACCACAUGAUCCUGAAAUUUUAACUGAAGAGGAGAAGUUUUACUUGAAGCGCACUGGUGAGAAAAAGAAAAAUUAUGCACCAGUUGGUAGACGAGGAGUAUUUGGAGG
RNAcentral lists this unclassified non-coding RNA (262 nucleotides) under Hevea brasiliensis (rubber tree). The record is from RNAcentral. Lineage: Eukaryota; Viridiplantae; Streptophyta; Magnoliopsida; Malpighiales; Euphorbiaceae.